GCCACGCCCGAAGUCGUUACCCCAACCGAAAGGAGGGGGAUGCCUAAGGUAGGACUGGUGACUGGGGUGAAGUCGUAACAAGGUAGCCGUACCGGAAGGUGUGGCUGGAUCACCUCCUUUUUAGGGAGACCUACCCAUUUAGAUAUCGAAAGCAAUGAGUAAAUAGAUACUAAACUGGUCUACUCUAGGUCGGUCGAGAUUGGUUAGUUCUCUUUCAAAGUAUUAUUAAAGCUCUGGUCAAAUUCAGCAACUAGGUAAACCCUAGACUGCUGGGUAAAUACCAGCCAGAACCUUGAAAACUGCAUAGUAACGCGAGGCAGUUCAGUAAUCUAGUGCUUUAGCAGCAGAUAACUGAAAUGAAAAAAACCAAUGUCAAGUGGUCAAGCUAAUAAGGGCUAAUGGUGGAUACCUAGGCACACAGAGG
Molecule: small RNA, 424 nt
Filed under: uncultured Nostocaceae cyanobacterium
Lineage: Bacteria; Bacillati; Cyanobacteriota; Cyanophyceae; Nostocales; Nostocaceae
Description: bacterial LSU rRNA
Rfam family: Bacterial small subunit ribosomal RNA (bases 1-120)
Source: RNAcentral